CUCGCGAGGACGAAUUCGUUAUCGUCUUCCUUCCACGUCUUUAUAUCUGAUGGCUCUUCUCCCCGUGUUCGAAGAGUACAAAAACAACCGCAAUCCGCAAUCGCGCAGGGAUCCCGAUGGCAGGCUCCGGCGAAAGCGCGAGAACUACGGCGGCGUCGCCUCCCGGACCGCCCCCCGGGUUCGGCGAGGGCGCCCCGCCGGACAACGCUCUGCACGCCCUGGGCUUCGAGUACACCCGCAUCACCGGGAGCGAGGUCCUUGGCCGCCUCGCCGUCACCGAAACCUGCUGCCAGCCCUUCAAGAUCCUCAACGGCGGCGUCUCGGCGCUGAUGGCAGAGUCGACGGCGAGCAUCGGCGGGUACAUGGCGUCCGGGUACCGGAGGGUGGCCGGCGUGCAGCUCUCCAUCAACCACCUCAAGCCCGCCCGCCUCGGCGACCGCAUCGAGGCCAAGGCGAACCCCAUCCAGGUCGGCCGCAACGUCCAGAUCCCAUUUUGUUUUCAAACGGAGUUCAUCGCCCAAAAUAAAAGAUCAAUUGAUAAAAGCCAGUCUGCUACUGGCUUACUGCAUCUGCAAUUUGAUUAGUCAGCUGCUGCCUGUGGAAGGAAUGGUCAAGAUUCCGGGUUGGUUGGGCGUUACUAGUAUAGAAAAUUAAACGAGCAGACAGCAAGAUGAGAUGCACAAGUUUGACACUUCUGCUUGCCUCACAGGUCUUCUCUGGCGGCUAACACAUUUCCCUUUUCAAACACACUAAAAGAAGAAAAAUGUUCUGGGCAAGAUAGUGACGGAUGGGGUCAGAUUAAUUGCAGCAGUCCAUGAUUAACCAUGAAAUGUCCACGUAUCAUGCUGUCGGAAUAUACUUUGUUAAGACUCACUGAACUCAAUCUACAAUUAUAGAUGUGCAUAUGGCUCGUCUUCUAUAUUUUCCUUGUUUCUUCAGGUUUGGGAGGUCCAGAUAUGGCUGUUGGAUCCUGCCACAUCGGAGCACAAAGAUUUGGUAUCAUCAGCAAGGGUUACCCUGCUAACCAACUUGUCAACACCAGAGGAAAUGAAGAUCUAUGAGAAGGGCAUCAAGAAAUAUGCAAAGCUUUAGGAACUGUAAUAUGUUGAGCACAAUAUAUAGCAGUCCAACAAAAAUUAAGUAUAUAAGUUGAUAUCCAAAUCACUUGAUCAAGAAUGUAUCACUUGCAAUUGUUUGCAAAUGUCCGGGACUACCGUGACAAGCAUGUAUCACUUGAUUAAGAAUUUUAGUCGAGAAGUGAUGAUAAUCCAAGUAAGAAUUCAGAUAUA
Triticum aestivum (bread wheat) is the source of this 1289-nucleotide RNA transcript. It is a transcript of the gene named 1,4-dihydroxy-2-naphthoyl-CoA thioesterase 1, with no coding region annotated. The record is from RefSeq and is a predicted model, not a curated record. NCBI's taxonomy places the organism in Eukaryota, Viridiplantae, Streptophyta, Magnoliopsida, Poales, Poaceae. The transcript is spliced from 4 exons.